CUUCGGACGUGGGAGCGUACACAGGUGCUGCAGUGGCUGUCGUCAGCUCGUGUCGUGAGAUGGUUAGGGUUAACGUCCCGACAACGAGCGCAACCCCUGCUGCCAGUUGCCAACGGGUGAAGCCGGGCACUCUGGCGGGACUGCCAUCGACAAGAUGGAGGAAGGUGGGGAUGACGUCAAGUCAUCAUGGCCCUUAUGUCCAGGGCGACACACGUGCUACAAUGGCCGGCACAGCGGGAAGCGAGGCAGUGAUGCCAAGCGGAUCCCUUAAAGCCGGUCUCAGUUCGGAUUGAAGUCUGCAACUCGACUUCAUGAAGCUGGAAUCGCUAGUAAUCGCAGAUCAGCCAAGCUGCGGUGAAUACGUUCCCGGGCCUU
This 375-nucleotide ribosomal RNA is filed under the name uncultured Thermanaerovibrio sp. RNAcentral's name for it is "bacterial SSU rRNA". It matches the Rfam family "Bacterial small subunit ribosomal RNA", at positions 1014 to 1382 of the family's 1533-position model. The record is from RNAcentral. Lineage: Bacteria; Thermotogati; Synergistota; Synergistia; Synergistales; Synergistaceae.